UCUAUAAUAGUAUUCUUUAUGUUGUUUGAGAUAAAAUUCUCUUAAUUGAAAAUGACAUCCCUAUAUUAUAGAAAAUAAAAGCUUGAUUGCCAUCUCUGUUCUCCAUAAAAGUUUGGAAGGUUAUUAGAAUCAUCUUUAAGUAUUUAUGAAAUACUAAUGAUCAAUAGCUCGUUUAUGAAGAAUCUAACUUAAAACCUGUGGAAUAUUGAUUUCAGUUUCUGGUC
Molecule: long non-coding RNA, 224 nt
Filed under: Elaeis guineensis (African oil palm)
Lineage: Eukaryota; Viridiplantae; Streptophyta; Magnoliopsida; Arecales; Arecaceae
Description: long non-coding RNA (EGUI_LNC056198)
Source: RNAcentral